AUCACGGCUCUACUCUGCUUCCUGACCUUUCCUCUACACUUUGCAACUGCUGUGAUGCUUCUGCCUCGUCACAGGCCCAAAUCAACAGAACCAAGCAACCAUGAACCAAACGUCUGAAACCGCAAGCCAAAGAAAAUCCCUGCUGCUUUAAGAUGCUUCCAUCGGGCUUCUGUCACAGUAAUGUACAAACAGUAACACACUCCCAUUGUGCUAUUACAAGGCUGGAACAUACUUUGAGAAAUGCCGGGUGUCCUUGGAGAAGGUCCAGGAAGAAGCUGUCGGUGAAGGUGCAACCUAGGUACAGUGAACACCCAGCAUUUUGGAGAAUCCAGUGUCAUCUCAUGGCCACCAAGGACAGCUGCAGCUGUGGUGUGGAGCUGAUCUAAGCCUAUGAGACAAGCUGUCUGUGCUGUGAAUGGCAGAACCAGAUAUGUGCAGAUGUCCAAACCCUUUGGAGCUCAGAAAAUCAACAGUGGAUCCCAGACAUCAAACACCAAUGGAGUUCACAUUGCUGGAUGUGGUUUUGUGUUGACUUGACUGUGAGUGCCCUGAAUCGUCUUCUGGCACAAGAAGUUCCUGCCUCCAGGUUCAUGCUAUGUUUUGAGUUCCUGCCAACACUCCCUUCUGCAAGGAACUGUUAACUGAACUGUUAACCGUAAGUGUAAGAUAAAAUAAACUUCCCCAGUCAAGGACUAUUUUGAGGUUGCCUUCUCUAUCUAAGCUUGGUAGAGCAGAACAGCUCUUGGCUGCUUGUACAGAUACUCAAGGUUUUCUUGUGGUUUUCACCUUUAAGCAUCCUUCCCUCAUCCCCCCUUUACUUGGUGCACUUCUGAUUUGGGCAGUUAUAAUCUGAAUUAAGCCUAGUGGUCUUUUCCUGGGGGGUCAUGACUCCAUAAAACUUUCUCUACUAAAAUUUCAGCUCUAAUAGGAUGGUUUGAUGUCAUUCUGCCCUUCUGUUACAUUUGUACAUAUUAUUUCAACUAAUUAAACAUAAGCAACACAAUUGGAAGUAUGUCGUUAGUAUUGUGUUUAGAAAAGGAAUUUGUGUCAUGGGAUCCAAACUGAGGGAGGGGAGGGCAGUGGGCUCAUUUUCACCAUCAUGUAUAUAUUUGGAUCAUAUCUGGAUCUUGAAAUUCAUGGUUGGGCUUCCUUCCUUCUUGCUUUCCUGACACUUGUAAAGAUGUGUUCCUGGAGUUGAUUUGUGUGUCUUUGAGGAUGAUGUGACCAUGAAAACGAUCAUGACCAGAUUCUGUGAACAACUGGUGUAUAUACAGUGCUCUCCCAACAUACUGUGAGGGCUACUGUGUUGCCACCAUCCCAAGGCAUGACAUACCCUUCUCUGGCCUCACAGCAUGGUACAGAAAGGCUGGGGAGUACACACAGCUGGCCAGUUGCAGAGCCUGGCCUCUGUUCAGAUCUAGGCUGUUUUCUUCACUCCUAGCCUCCCCUCCUUCCAGUGUGAGGACAUCUGACCUAGAUCUUGCAUUGAGGCAGUUCUUUCCCUAUGUACACCAGGUCUCACCAAAGAGUGAGCUGGUGUAAUCGAUCUAUCUGGGGACACUGGUAGAUGAAGUCUGUUUCUGCAGACCUAGAAGGGCUCUUGGCCCUCGAUCCAGUUCCUUUACUCUGUAACCAAGGAAACUCGAAUCCCCAGAAACCAUACAUACACUGUUGGGAAGAGAGAAAUCAGGGCUACAGAAGAUUGGCAUUCAGAGGGACUCAAGGAACAGGAAGGAACCAUGUGGGUGAAUGGAUAUGGCUGUCUGUUCUUGGGAUGUGAUGUGACUAGCCACCUUGAGUCCUUGCCCUGACUUCCCUUUAACAAUGAACUAUAUAACCCAGAAUAUGAGUGGAAAUGAGCUUUUUCUUCCCUAACUUGCUUUUUGUCAGGAUAUUUUAUCACAGCAACAGAAUUGAAAGCUAGGACUGUAGCCAGAGAGGGGCUCCGCAGGGAAUCAGUUGUAAAUUGACAUACUGGAUUGUGAAUUGGGGAGGGGACGUUUCUAGAACUUUCUUAGGAACGCGUGUCUCCUUCCUUUCUGAAGCAAAAGAAGAAAGGCAGCAGCAGGCAUGCUAAGCAUUCAGAGGUAGUAUCUGGAAAGUGUGAAUGGAAAACCACCCCACAGUCCCUAAGCCGAAGACUGCAGCAGUGGCUCUGAGGUGAUGUGUACAGUGUGUCUGCCAGUAAAUCACCGGAAAGAAGGAACGAGUGUUGAGAAAAGAUGUUAUCUCCUGGGCAUGGGGAGUUAUUGAGCAUCUGAGUCAGGGAGCAGGGUUUUGUGGGAAGGCAAUUUCCUGGGUCCUCUCCCAAGGACAAUGAAUCACAGCUGAGACCUGCCACACUAGGGAGGAAGGCCAGAGGGUGACGUGUCCAGAAAACUGGAAGUGACUGCCAAGCACUCAGGCAAGACUGUGUGGACACUUUCUGGAGCCCCGUCAGUGCUCCACUCAGCACCAAGUGUGAGAUGGCCCUGCUUGCUCUUAGGGACUCAAACUAGUUGGUGUUUUUUUCUCCCCACAUUCUCAUCUAACUCCAGUCCUAUUCUGCCCCUUGGGAAUGCCCCCACAUAGGCUUCUUCCUAAAUCAUACCCACCUAUCACUGAGGAGUAGAAGCCGAAGAGGUGGGUAGUUAGUGCUAAUUAAAAGCAGAUCAAAACUUUUUUGAGACAGGGUCUUUCUGUGCAGCUUUAUGGCCUUGAGUUGAUGAGAGCUCCCUCUGUCUUGGCCUUGAAGUGCUGAGAUGACAGGUGUGAGCAUGGUAUCUAGCUGUUGGUGUUAAUUUUAAGUCUCCUCUGUGAAGGCUCAGCAGCCAGUGACAAGUGGGAAGACAUCCUCAACAGGGAUUGUGUCACUGCAGCCUGGUUACUGCAGGCUGCCUUGUGCAGGGGUCAGGGCUGUGAGUCCAGGAGAGCUGAGACAUGGUUGGGGCAAUUCCGGACCCUUUCUCGCCCGUUUUCCUCAGUGGAUGGUUACUGCAUGGGGUAAACAGGGAGGUGUGGGCAUGGGAGUGUGCAGAUGGUCUGUCCUAGCACUUCCCACAUUCCCAGUGAAAGAGAAAGCCAAGCCAUCAUCUGAGAGUGACAGGGAAACGGGAGCUUGAGAUGAAAGACAAUAGUGUGACACAGCUGUCUAUAGAGGGGGGGGCUGCAGCAGUGGCAGGGGUCCCCCUGAAGCAGGCGGCUGUGGGUUUAAGGAGGGAUCCCACAUAGAAGAGAAGUAGAAGCUGGUUUCGAUGUGUUGCUGUGAUAAAUACCAUGACCAGAGGCAGCAACUCGGGGAGGAAAAUGCUGAUGUUUCCGGGUCACAGUCAACUGUUGCAAUCAGGGCAGGAACUCAAGGCAGCACUGCUUGCUGUUCCAUGCAGAUCACCUCCAACUGUGGAACUCACA
Cricetulus griseus (Chinese hamster) is the source of this 3390-nucleotide non-coding RNA. NCBI's taxonomy places the organism in Eukaryota, Metazoa, Chordata, Mammalia, Rodentia, Cricetidae. The record is from RefSeq and is a predicted model, not a curated record.